AGUUGCUGAGUGCAACCAGCCAAUCAGAACCCAUUAGCGGAGUCACGAGAGCUAAUCGAGGAAUAAAAACAAACCUGACAAGAGGCGGAUGGAAGAUGUGUGAAGGAUUGUGUUCCUCUGUCGAGUUUCUCCCGGUGAAGUGCACGUCAGCAUCCAGAAGAGAUGGAGGCGAUGGGAUCCGGAUCCGGAGCCGAAGCUGAGGAGGCCCAGAGAAACACAGCCAUGCUGUGGAGCAUCCAGGAGGCCGUUCAGAGGCAGACGCUGCAGAUCGGGGCCUCGGCGUGCGGGGCCACGGCGGUGGUGGACGUUCUGCAGGCGCUGGGCAUCACGGUGACUCCAGAGACGGUUGAUCACUGCGUCAGGACGAGUCUGCGGAGGAACGAGGCGCCGCUUCACGAUUACCUGCACUCCCGCAGCAAGGCCGGGGCCACACACCUGCAGCUGGUCUCCGGGGCCGAGCAGGCCAGCGGGGGCCGUGUUGUGGGCCGGUUCUUUGGCCUGUAUCCGCGGCGGAGGCUGAAGCUGGUGCCGUGGUUGGCGCGCUGGAUUCGGAGUGGAGCCGUUCCCAUCGCCACCAUGAACAUGCAGCGGGCCGUUCCUGAAGGAGAAGAGAUUCCCGACGCCUGGCAUCACCAGCUCAUCUUCGGAGUCGCACCCGGUGCUGUGUUCAUGACCAACCCGCUGGACGUGGUGAGUGAAGAGGAGGUUCACGAGCGUCUGUGCAGCGAGUCUGUGCUGCUCGUUCGCCAUGAAGACGUUCUGAAGAGACUGACCCCGGACGCUCAUCUAUCACAGAUCUCAGAUAAGCAUCCCGACCUGCGCUGGAAAACAUUAAACGUGGAGGAUCAGGUCAGACAGAUGAUCAGCGAGGAAGAGUGUCCAAAGACGACGCAUCUCGUGAUUCCCGCGGCGUACAGCUCUGGAGUGACUUUCUUUGCUCUUAGAGACUCUGAUGUUGCUCAGGAGCUUCUCAGCAGCCCGGAUCUGCCUCUGCUGUGAUUUUAUCAUCAUCAAAUCAGUGCUUAAUUAACUUAUUCUUGACAUCGGAUCAAUAUUUAUUCUUGGGAUUUUAAAUAGAUGUUGUCAUCCUGGUGUGUUAUGUGUCCUUUGAGAGUUUAAUGGUUCACAGCAUCGUGUUUAUCAAAUAAAAAGCAAGAAACGUACAUGUUCCCUGUUCAUGUUUAUCUGCCAAGCGUUACUACACUGCAAAAAAUGCUUUUCUUACUUAGAUUUUUUUGUCUUGUUUUCAGCCAAAAUAUCAAAAAAUUCUUAAAUCAAG
Long non-coding RNA from Sinocyclocheilus anshuiensis, 1279 nucleotides. Ensembl lists it as uncharacterized. The record is from Ensembl. Lineage: Eukaryota; Metazoa; Chordata; Actinopteri; Cypriniformes; Cyprinidae.